GGAAGGAGUUCUGCCUGUUUCUUGGGUUUGUUUUCCUCUCUCUUUAUCUUUGUCAUCACAGAAACAGAAAAAACACGUGGUAAAGCUCUGGGUCAGGUGAAAUUUCUAGAUUCUGCUGCCAGAUGCAUUUCAGGCCGGGGCAUUUCUUGCCUUGCACCCAUCCCAGGGCUCCCCUCUGAGGCCUUGUCUUCCCUCCCAUCUCCAUCCUCUCAGCCCUCCAGGCAAGGGGAGGGACCUCUCUGCCCAUUCGGGACUCCCCGAAAUAAGGCGGAGGUAGUGAACCCUCCCUGCUGGAAGUCUCCAAACCAGGCUCAUCCUACUGGUCCUUCAGUGAGCGGUCCUUCCGUUCCAUAUCCCCAACCUAUGGGGGCAGGCUCCCUCCACCUCCACCUUCCAGUCUGCCCUUUCCCUCUCCCAUUCUUUCCCCUCCAUCUGCUUCCUCUGACCAUCUCCAGCCCUUUGGUCCUGGGCACCCCUCUGGAGCAGGUGGACACCAUGUUCUGUUUCCCAGUGUUCACACCUCUCCAGUAUGAGAUUUGAAGAUGGCUCACAUGUUCUUUCCUUUGGUUUCUUGUUCCCCUGCCACUUGGGCUCAUCUUAGAGCCCAACACUGGCAUGGCGCAUGACCUGGGACACUCAGCACUGCCUGCCAAGUGGCUUUUUUCUUUUUUUUUUUACUGUCCCUGCCUGUCCCUUACCUGCUGGUGACCUGGGCAGGGGUGGAGGUGGGAGCUCAUGGAGUUGGCUGAGUUUGUUCAACAGCUGCCUCAGAAUGGAAAAGGUGAGGGCAAGGCUCUAACGUAUGGGAAAAACAAUGAAAACCAAGGAGUUCCGACUAAGAGAAUCCUGAGUUCAAGUCCACACACGACCAGUGACCAGCUGUGGAACCUCGGUGUCCUCAUCAUUUAAAAUGGGGAAGAUGACACCUCACACUUCAGGGUCAGAGGAGAUAAUGAAAAGGAAGAUGCUUGGGAAAUUGCUUUUCUUUAGUGUGUCUGACAGUGGGUCUCAGCAAUCUUUGCUGCCUGCAUGAAUACAAGGCAGGAGAAGAGAAGGGUGAGGAAGGAGGGAAGGAGAGAAGGGGAGAGGAAAGAAAGAGCAUGAAGCUUGCAGGGACCCCCUGCUUUUUCAAGCAUCAGAAUCUGAAGCAAACUGAACUUAGAGACUGCUGAGCUUGCAGGUUCUGGCUCCAAGAUUUUCUGUGUCUUAACUGUAAUUGGAUACUCACUGACAAAGCUUUUUUUUUUUUUU
This 1251-nucleotide long non-coding RNA is filed under the name Capra hircus (goat). RNAcentral's name for it is "lncRNA (ENSCHIG00010009948.1)". The record is from RNAcentral. Lineage: Eukaryota; Metazoa; Chordata; Mammalia; Artiodactyla; Bovidae.